This 508-nucleotide ribosomal RNA is filed under the name uncultured bacterium. RNAcentral's name for it is "partial 16S ribosomal RNA". It matches the Rfam family "Bacterial small subunit ribosomal RNA", at positions 30 to 523 of the family's 1533-position model. The record is from RNAcentral.
AUUGAGCGCUGGCGGCAUGCCUUACACAUGCAAGUCGAACGGCAGCGGGGGAGAAGCUUGCUUUUCCUGCCGGCGAGUGGCGAACGGGUGAGUAAUACAUCGGAACGUGCCCUGUAGUGGGGGAUAACUAGUCGAAAGAUUAGCUAAUACCGCAUACGACCUGAGGGUGAAAGUGGGGGACCGCAAGGCCUCAUGCUAUAGGAGCGGCCGAUGUCUGAUUAGCUAGUUGGUGGGGUAAAGGCCUACCAAGGCGACGAUCAGUAGCUGGUCUGGGAGGACAAUCAGCCAAACUGGGACUGAGACACGGCCCAGACUCCUACGGGAGGCAGCAGUGGGGAAUUUUGGACAAUGGGCGAAAGCCUUAUCCAGCAAUGCCGCGUGUGUGAAGAAGGCCUUCGGGUUGUAAAGCACUUUUGUCCGGAAAGAAAUGGCUCUGGUUAAUACCUGGGGUCGAUGACGGUACCGGAAGAAUAAGGACCGGCUAACUACGUGCCAGCCGCCGCAGUAA